GACGUCAAAUCAUCAUGCCCCUUAUGACCUGGGCUACACACGUGCUACAAUGGAUGGUACAAAGGGCUGCAAGACCGCGAGGUUUAGCCAAUCCCAUAAAACCAUUCUCAGUUCGGAUUGCAGGCUGCAACUCGCCUGCAUGAAGCCGGAAUCGCUAGUAAUCGCGGAUCAGCAUGCCGCGGUGAAUACGUUCCCGGGCCUUGUACACACCGCCCGUCACACCAUGAGAGUUUGUAACACCCGAAGUCGGUGGGGUAACCGUAAGGAGCCAGCCGCCUAAGGUGGGACAGAUGC
RNAcentral lists this ribosomal RNA (294 nucleotides) under uncultured bacterium. Its description in RNAcentral is "partial 16S ribosomal RNA". It matches the Rfam family "Bacterial small subunit ribosomal RNA", at positions 1181 to 1474 of the family's 1533-position model. The record is from RNAcentral.